CCUACGGGUGGCUGCAGUAAGGAAUAUUGGUCAAUGGACGAAAGUCUGAACCAGCCAUCCCGCGUGCAGGAUGAAAGCCCUAUGGGUUGUAAACUGCUUUUAGCAGAGAAGAAAAGCUUUCAUUAAUGAGAGUCUGACGGUAUCUGCAGAAUAAGCACCGGCUAACUCCGUGCCAGCAGCCGCGGUAAUACGGAGGGUGCCGGAAUUAUCGGGCAUUAAGGGGUUUAAGGGGGAGGAAGACGUCGGUGGUGAAAUCUUGUCGCUUAACGAUAAAAUUGCCUAUGAUACUGGUACUCGUGAAUUGGGUUGAGGUUAGCGGAAUGUGACAUGUAGCGGUGAAAUGCAUAGAUAUGUCAUGGAACACCAAUUGCGAAGGCAGCUAACUGGGCCUUGAUUGACGCUGAGGCACGAAAGCGUGGGUAGCGAACAGGAUUAGAUACCCGAGUAGUC
Molecule: ribosomal RNA, 450 nt
Filed under: uncultured bacterium
Lineage: Bacteria
Description: partial 16S ribosomal RNA
Rfam family: Bacterial small subunit ribosomal RNA
Source: RNAcentral